Molecule: transfer RNA, 58 nt
Filed under: Cricetulus griseus (Chinese hamster)
Lineage: Eukaryota; Metazoa; Chordata; Mammalia; Rodentia; Cricetidae
Rfam family: tRNA
About the family: Transfer RNA (tRNA) molecules are approximately 80 nucleotides in length.
Source: Rfam by way of RNAcentral
UAGCUCAGUCAGUACAGCAUGAGACUCUUAAUCUCAGGGCCAUGGGUUCGAGCCCCAC